UCAUGUUUUCUAUUCUUGUGUGUUGAUAUGGUUGAGUGCAGGUUCCCGUUAUCUUUAAAGAUAGUUUCUCAGCAGGAGGUUGGACUAUCUGGGUAACGGUUUGAUUGCGUUGUUUAGUAUUGAUAUUGUUGUUUAGUUGUUGGUGUUAGUGGUCUUAGGCCAUAUAGGCCGGAUUACUGGUACUACUGUUUCGUGUUGAAGAGUCGAGUGUCUAGUUAGGAUCUGGAACUUUAGCCUUAUGUUAGGUUCUAUAUUGAGUUUGAGUUGUGUGAGUGUUGCCGACAGUAUGUGCGUAACCCGCCCAUACUAGGCUUGUUUAGGGGUGAUUAGUGUUUCCCCGGCCUCGUACCCAGCGGGUUCAAGGAAACCCCUUAUUCGCUGGAUCGGGAAGACUCAGACGAACGGGGUCAUGUCCUAUGGCUGAGUAUUACCCGACGGUGUAAUGUGGCAGUGGCCCGAAGGACUGUGGACGGUCGCGCGGUGACCCGAAGGACUGUGGGCCGCGGUCGGUUGAAAGUUCCUUCUUCUAGCCUUUGUGGUAGGAAGAUAGGAUAUUGCUGAUAGAGAGGAGGAACACGAAGUCACCAGGGCCCAGGUUAGAGUGUUGUGUUAGUGUGUCGUACAGGGUUAUGGAGCCCUCGAGUUAGUGUAGCAUCGAUAUACGGUGUUACGAGAUAGAUCGAGUCGUAGUUACUCAUAGUAUCUUAUUAUUAUGAUUGUGUUUGGUUGUUGAUUGAUUUGUUUUCAGGUUCUGACAUUAAAUCCUAAGUCUGGUUUAGGUACCGGAUUAGGCUUCGUGUGUAUUUGGUUUGUGUAGGCCUGACGUUGGCCUGUAUGUGUUUGAAGGAUUGCUUGUGAAGGGUGGUGGAUAUUAAAGCUAUGCGGUAUCAUUGGUUGGCCGACCAUG
Molecule: long non-coding RNA, 907 nt
Filed under: Brassica napus (rape)
Lineage: Eukaryota; Viridiplantae; Streptophyta; Magnoliopsida; Brassicales; Brassicaceae
Description: long non-coding RNA (BNAP_LNC011084)
Source: RNAcentral